Molecule: ribosomal RNA, 253 nt
Filed under: uncultured bacterium
Lineage: Bacteria
Description: partial 16S ribosomal RNA
Rfam family: Bacterial small subunit ribosomal RNA
Source: RNAcentral
UACAGAGGGUGCGAGCGUUAAUCGGAAUUACUGGGCGUAAAGGGUGCGUAGGUUGUUGUUUAAGUUAGAUGUGAAAUCCCUAGGCUUAACCUGGGAAUGGCGUUUAAAACUGAAUAACUAGAGUACUGCAGAGGUUAGUGGAAUUUCCAGUGUAGCGGUGAAAUGCGUAGAUAUUGGAAGGAACACCAGUGGCGAAGGCGACUAACUGGGCAGCUACUGACACUGAGGCACGAAAGCGUGGGGAGCAAACAGG